This 496-nucleotide ribosomal RNA is filed under the name uncultured bacterium. RNAcentral's name for it is "partial 16S ribosomal RNA". It matches the Rfam family "Bacterial small subunit ribosomal RNA", at positions 28 to 506 of the family's 1533-position model. The record is from RNAcentral.
GACGAACGCUGGCGGCGUGCCUAAUACAUGCAAGUUGAGCGCUGAAGGUUGGUACUUGUACCAACUGGAUGAGCAGCGAACGGGUGAGUAACGCGUGGGGAAUCUGCCUUUGAGCGGGGGACAACAUUUGGAAACGAAUGCUAAUACCGCAUAAAAACUUUAAACACAAGUUUUAAGUUUGAAAGAUGCAAUUGCAUCACUCAAAGAUGAUCCCGCGUUGUAUUAGCUAGUUGGUGAGGUAAAGGCUCACCAAGGCGAUGAUACAUAGCCGACCUGAGAGGGUGAUCGGCCACAUUGGGACUGAGACACGGCCCAAACUCCUACGGGAGGCAGCAGUAGGGAAUCUUCGGCAAUGGACGAAAGUCUGACCGAGCAACGCCGCGUGAGUGAAGAAGGUUUUCGGAUCGUAAAACUCUGUUGGUAGAGAAGAACGUUGGUGAGAGUGGGAAGCUCAUCAAGUGACGGUAACUACCCAGAAAGGGACGGCUAACUACGU